This 275-nucleotide long non-coding RNA is filed under the name Danio rerio (zebrafish). RNAcentral describes it as "si:ch211-129h14.2 (ENSDARG00000096910.2)". Lineage: Eukaryota; Metazoa; Chordata; Actinopteri; Cypriniformes; Danionidae. The record is from RNAcentral.
ACCUGAGUCUCCACCGGGCACAGCGCGCGGAGCACAACCGACAUACAGCGCUGAAACCCCGGCUACUGUCGCUCCCGUCAAACUCCACGUCCACCUGUCCGACGACAUUGCAAACCUCUCCUAAAUGGCAUUUGUGCGAUGUGGAUGCAGUGUGAGACCUUUCAGCGCCUGACGAGAGGAAGGGUUACCCUCAUGAAAAUGUCAUGCUAGACUGAUCAUUAAUCCUCCACUAUCUAAAAAAGACGCUUGCUGACUUCAGCCAAUGUGGAGAAGAC